GAUCAUGGCUCAGGAUGAACGCUGGCGGCGUGUCUAACACAUUCAAGUCGAACGGAGCCAUCUGAUUAAUCCUUCGGGAAGCGUCUGAGAAGCUUAGUGGCGGACGGGUGAGUAACGCGUGAGCAACCUGCCUUUGCAACCGGGAUAACAGUUGGAAACGACUGCUAAUACGGGAUGACGUACACGGGUCGCAUGGCCUGUGUACCAAAGAUGCGUCGUGCAAAGAUGGG
Molecule: ribosomal RNA, 230 nt
Filed under: uncultured bacterium
Lineage: Bacteria
Description: partial 16S ribosomal RNA
Rfam family: Bacterial small subunit ribosomal RNA
Source: RNAcentral